Molecule: ribosomal RNA, 301 nt
Filed under: uncultured bacterium
Lineage: Bacteria
Description: partial 16S ribosomal RNA
Rfam family: Bacterial small subunit ribosomal RNA
Source: RNAcentral
CAGUCGCCGCGGUAAUACAGAGGGUGCGAGCGUUAAUCGGAUUUACUGGGCGUAAAGCGUGCGUAGGCGGCUUUUUAAGUCGGAUGUGAAAUCCCUGAGCUUAACUUAGGAAUUGCAUUCGAUACUGGGAAGCUAGAGUAUGGGAGAGGAUGGUAGAAUUCCAGGUGUAGCGGUGAAAUGCGUAGAGAUCUGGAGGAAUACCGAUAACGAAGGCAGCCAUCUGGCCUAAUACUGACGCUGAGGUACGAAAGCAUGGGGAGCAAACAGGAUUAGAUACCCCGGUAGUCCCUGUCUCUUAUAC